RNAcentral lists this ribosomal RNA (913 nucleotides) under uncultured archaeon. RNAcentral's name for it is "bacterial SSU rRNA". It matches the Rfam family "Archaeal small subunit ribosomal RNA", at positions 1 to 922 of the family's 1478-position model. The record is from RNAcentral.
UCCGGUUGAUCCUGCCGGACCUGACUGCUAUCGGAUUGAUACUAAGCCAUGCGAGUCUUUGUAGUAAUACAAGGCAGACGGCUCAGUAACGCGUAGUCAACCUACCCUAUGGACGGGAAUAAUCUCGGGAAACUGAGCAUAAUACCCGGCGUACCACCAUUCCUGGAAUGGUUGGUGGUUAAAAUGAUUCGUCGCCGUAGGAUGGGACUGCGGCCUAUCAGCUUGUUGGUGGGGUAAAGGCCCACCAAGGCUAUUACAGGUACGGGCUCUGAGAGGAGAAGCCCGGAGAUGGGUACUGAGACAAGGACCCAGGCCCUAUGGGGCGCAGCAGGCGAGAAAACUUUGCAAUGUGCGAAAGCACGACAAGGUUAAUCCGAGUGAUUUCUGCUAAAGGAAUCUUUUGCCAGUUCUAAAAAUACUAGUGAAUAAGGGGUGGGCAAGUUCUGGUGUCAGCCGCCGCGGUAAAACCAGCACCUCAAGUGGUCAGGAUGAUUAUUGGGCCUAAAGCAUCCGUAGCCGGCUCUGUAAGUUUUCGGUCAAAUCCAUGUGCUCAACGCAUGGGCUGCCGAAAAUACUGCAGUGCUAGGAAGUGGGAGAGGUAGACGGUACUUGAUAGGAAGGGGUAAAAUCCUUUGAUCUAUCGAUGACCACCUGUGGCGAAGGCGGUCUACCAGAACACGUUCGACGGUGAGGGAUGAAAGCUGGGGGAGCAAACCGGAUUAGAUACCCGGGUAGUCCCAGCUGUAAACGAUGCAGACUCGAUGAUGCAUUGGCAUAUAGCCAGUGCAGUGUCGCAGGGAAGCCGUUAAGUCUGCCGCCUGGGAAGUACGUACGCAAGUAUGAAACUUAAAGGAAUUGGCGGGGGAGCACCACAAGGGGUGAAGCCUGCGGUUCAAUUGGAUUCAACGCCGGG